Molecule: long non-coding RNA, 204 nt
Filed under: Prunus dulcis (almond)
Lineage: Eukaryota; Viridiplantae; Streptophyta; Magnoliopsida; Rosales; Rosaceae
Description: sRNA ncRNA
Source: RNAcentral
AUGCAACCAAAUGAUACCUAUACAAGGGUUCAAGUUUCAAUCGAUAUUUGCGGAGUUGAUUAUCCUUCUCGAAAACGAAGAUUUGAAGUGGUCUAUAAUUUAUUGAGUAGUCGGUAUAAUUCACGCAUUCGUGUACAAAUCAGUGCAGACGAAGUAACAUGAAUAUCUCUGAUAGUUAGUCUAUUUCCAUCAACCGACCGUUAA